UACAGAGGGUGCGAGCGUUGUUCGGAAUUAUUGGGCGUAAAGGGCGCGUAGGCGGUGCGGUAAGUCACCUGUGAAAUCUCCUGGCUCAACUGGGAGCUUGCAGGCGAAACUGCCGUGCUGGAGUGUGGGAGAGGUGCGUGGAAUUCCUGGUGUAGCGGUGAAAUGCGUAGAUAUCAGGAGGAACACCUGUGGCGAAAGCGGCGCACUGGACCACAACUGACGCUGAGGCGCGAAAGCUAGGGGAGCAAACGGG
RNAcentral lists this ribosomal RNA (253 nucleotides) under uncultured bacterium. RNAcentral's name for it is "partial 16S ribosomal RNA". It matches the Rfam family "Bacterial small subunit ribosomal RNA", at positions 524 to 776 of the family's 1533-position model. The record is from RNAcentral.